RNAcentral lists this ribosomal RNA (511 nucleotides) under uncultured bacterium. RNAcentral's name for it is "partial 16S ribosomal RNA". It matches the Rfam family "Bacterial small subunit ribosomal RNA", at positions 28 to 523 of the family's 1533-position model. The record is from RNAcentral.
GACGAACGCUGGCGGCGUGCCUAAUACAUGCAAGUCGAGCGAAUCAAUGGGAGCUUGCUCCCUGAGAUUAGCGGCGGACGGGUGAGUAACACGUGGGUAACCUGCCUGUAAGACUGGGAUAACUUCGGGAAACCGGAGCUAAUACCGGAUACGUUCUUUUCUCGCAUGAGGAGAGAUGGAAAGAUGGUUCUGCUAUCACUUACAGAUGGACCCGCGGCGCAUUAGCUAGUUGGGGAGGUAAAGGCUCACCAAGGCGAGGAUGCGUAGCCGACCUGGGAGGGUGAUCGGCCACACUGGGACUGGGACACGGCCCAGACUCCUACGGGAGUCAGCAGUAGGGAAUCUUCCGCAAUGGACGAAAGUCUGACGGAGCAACGCCGCGUGAGCGAAGAAGGCCUUCGGGUCGUAAAGCUCUGUUGUUAGGGAAGAACAAGUACGAGAGUAACUGCUCGUACCUUGACGGUACCUAACCAGAAAGCCACGGCUAACUACGUGCCAGCCGCCGCAGUAA